UACAGAGGUCCCAAGCGUUACUGAGAAUCACUGGGGUUAAAGGGUGCGUAGGUGGUCCGUUAAGUUCGUUGUGAAAUCCCUGGGCUCAACCCAGGAACUGCUUCGAAUACUGGCGGACUUGAGGCCGGUAGGGGUCACUGGAACUGACGGUGGAGCGGUGAAAUGCGUAGAUAUCGUCAGGAACGCCGGUGGUGAAGACGGGUGACUUGGCCGGAUCUGACACUGAGGCACGAAAGCGUGGGGAGCGAACGGG
RNAcentral lists this ribosomal RNA (253 nucleotides) under uncultured bacterium. Its description in RNAcentral is "partial 16S ribosomal RNA". It matches the Rfam family "Bacterial small subunit ribosomal RNA", at positions 524 to 776 of the family's 1533-position model. The record is from RNAcentral.